RNAcentral lists this ribosomal RNA (253 nucleotides) under uncultured bacterium. Its description in RNAcentral is "partial 16S ribosomal RNA". It matches the Rfam family "Bacterial small subunit ribosomal RNA", at positions 524 to 776 of the family's 1533-position model. The record is from RNAcentral.
UACGUAGGGGGCAAGCGUUGUCCGGAUUUAUUGGGCGUAAAGAGCGUGUAGGCGGCCGUACAGGUCAGCUGUGAAAACUCGAGGCUCAACCUCGAGAUGUCGGCGGAAACCAUCUGGCUAGAGUCCGGAAGAGGAGAGUGGAAUUCCUGGUGUAGCGGUGAAAUGCGCAGAUAUCAGGAAGAACACCCGUGGCGAAGGCGGCUCUCUGGGACGGUACUGACGCUGAGACGCGAAAGCGUGGGGAGCGAACAGG